GAAUUUUAUUCUGGGUUCAGGAGGAACGCUAGGAACAGGGCUAACCCCAUGCAAGUCGAGGGGCAUCGGGAGGGAAGCUUGCUUUCCUGCCCGGCGACCGGCGCACGGGGGAGUAACACGUAUGCAACCUGCCCUCUUCAGGGGGACAACCCUCCGAAAGGGAGGCUAAUCCCGCGUAUAUCGGUNUCGGGCAUCCGAGAUCGAGGAAAGAUUCAUCGGAAGAGGAUGGGCAUGCGGCGCAUUAGCUAGACGGCGGGGUAACGGCCCACCGUGGCGACGAUGCGUAGGGGUUCUGAGAGGAAGGUCCCCCACACUGGUACUGAGACACGGACCAGACUCCUACGGGAGGCAGCAGUGAGGAAUAUUGGUCAAUGGGAGAGAUCCUGAACCAGCCAAGCCGCGUGAGGGAAGACGGCCCUAUGGGUUGUAAACCUCUUUUGUCGGAGAACAAAACCCGGGACGAGUCCCGGACUGCGUGUAUCCGAAGAAAAAGCAUCGGCUAACUCCGUGCCAGCAGCCGCGGUAAUACGGAGGAUGCGAGCGUUAUCCGGAUUUAUUGGGUUUAAAGGGUGCGUAGGCGGUCCGUUAAGUCAGCGGUAAAAUUGCGGGGCUCAACCCCGUCGAGCCGUUGAAACUGGCAGACUUGAGUUGGCGAGAAGUACGCGGAAUGCGCGGUGUAGCGGUGAAAUGCAUAGAUAUCGCGCAGAACUCCGAUUGCGAAGGCAGCGUACCGGCGCCACACUGACGCUGAGGCACGAAAGCGUGGGGAUCGAACAGGAUUAGAUACCCUGGUAGUCCACGCAGUAAACGAUGAAUGCUAUCUGUCCGGCCGGAAUGACGGCUGGGUGGCACAGCGAAAGCGAUAAGCAUUCCACCUGGGGAGUACGCCGGCAACGGUGAAACUCAAAGGAAUUGACGGGGGCCCGCACAAGCGGAGGAACAUGUGGUUUAAUUCGAUGAUACGCGAGGAACCUUACCCGGGCUCAAACGGGAGUGGAAUGGACCAGAGACGGUUCAGCCUACGGGCCGCUUCCGAGGUGCUGCAUGGUUGUCGUCAGCUCGUGCCGUGAGGUGUCGGCUUAAGUGCCAUAACGAGCGCAACCCCCGCCGGCAGUUGCUAACGGGCAAUGCCGAGGACUCUGCCGGGACUGCCGCCGCAAGGCGUGAGGAAGGCGGGGAUGACGUCAAAUCAGCACGGCCCUUACGUCCGGGGCGACACACGUGUUACAAUGGGCGGUACAGCGGGAAGCCAGGCGGCGACGCCGAGCGGAACCCGAAAGCCGUUCUCAGUUCGGAUCGGAGUCUGCAACCCGACUCCGUGAAGCUGGAUUCGCUAGUAAUCGCGCAUCAGCCAUGG
This 1357-nucleotide ribosomal RNA is filed under the name uncultured bacterium. RNAcentral's name for it is "bacterial SSU rRNA". It matches the Rfam family "Bacterial small subunit ribosomal RNA", at positions 9 to 1357 of the family's 1533-position model. The record is from RNAcentral.